This 324-nucleotide ribosomal RNA is filed under the name Triticum aestivum (bread wheat). RNAcentral describes it as "partial small subunit ribosomal RNA". The record is from RNAcentral. Lineage: Eukaryota; Viridiplantae; Streptophyta; Magnoliopsida; Poales; Poaceae.
AUGAAGGCCAUCAUUAAGGUGCUAACCGCCCGGCUCCAGAAAAUCAUUCACUCUCUUGUUGAUCUUGACCAAACUAGGUUCCUGGCUGGGAGGUGUAUCUCUGAAAACUUUGUUUACGCGGCAGAUAUUCUUCACUCCUUCCACUCCAGAAAAUGUCCCACUGCGCUUCUCAAACUUGAUUUCCGCAAGUCCUUCGACUCCGUUAGCUGGGAUAGUCUUGCUUGUAUCUUGCGUGCCUAUGGUUUCCCUCUUGUGUGGUGUGCUUGGAUCCACACGAUCCUCUCGACCGGGCAUACCUCCGUCCUCCUCAAUGGGGUCCCCGGC